This 253-nucleotide ribosomal RNA is filed under the name uncultured bacterium. Its description in RNAcentral is "partial 16S ribosomal RNA". It matches the Rfam family "Bacterial small subunit ribosomal RNA", at positions 524 to 776 of the family's 1533-position model. The record is from RNAcentral.
UACGUAGGGGGCAAGCGUUGUCCGGAAUCAUUGGGCGUAAAGAGCGUGUAGGCGGCCCGAUAAGUCCGCCGUGAAAGUCCAGGGCUCAACCCUGGAAUGCCGGUGGAAACUGUCGGGCUGGAGUCCGGAAGAGGCGAGUGGAAUUCCUGGUGUAGCGGUGAAAUGCGCAGAUAUCAGGAGGAACACCAAUGGCGAAGGCAGCUCGCUGGGACGGUACUGACGCUGAGGAGCGAAAGCAUGGGGAGCGAACAGG